AACGAACGCUGGCGGCAGGCCUAACACAUGCAAGUCGAGCGGACCCUUCGGGGUUAGCGGCGGACGGGUGAGUAACGCGUGGGAAUAUGCCCUUCUCUACGGAAUAGUCCUGGGAAACUGGGGUUAAUCCCUUUUACGCCCUUUGGGGGAAAGAUUUAUCGGGGAAGGAUUAGCCCGCGUUGGAUUAGGUAGUUGGUGGGGUAAUGGCCUACCAAGCCGCCGAUCCAUAGCUGGUUUGAGAGGAUGAUCAGCCACACUGGGACUGAGACACGGCCCAGACUCCUACGGGAGGCAGCAGUGGGGAAUCUUAGACAAUGGGGGCAACCCUGAUCUAGUCAUGCCGCGUGAGUGAUGAAGGCCUUAGGGUUGUAAAGCUCUUUCAGCUGGGAAGAUAAUGACGGUACCAGCAGAAGAAGCCCCGGCUAACUCCGUG
This 433-nucleotide ribosomal RNA is filed under the name uncultured bacterium. RNAcentral describes it as "partial 16S ribosomal RNA". It matches the Rfam family "Bacterial small subunit ribosomal RNA", at positions 29 to 507 of the family's 1533-position model. The record is from RNAcentral.